AAGAAGAAGAAGAAGACAAACGGGACGGAGGAAGAUGAAUGGGACAAGAGAGCAAAAUCGUUGCAUCGGUAAUGGCCGCCAUUGUGGCUUGAUGAGUCGACCGCUUAUUUCACUCUUUCACUCUCUCCCUCUCUCUAUUUCUCUCUUAUUUGCUCUCUUGAUGUUUUCGCGUGCGAACGAGCGCAUAGGUCCGAUUCAGUCGUAUAUUCGACAACGAAUAGGAUACGAAUAGUUUGAUAGAAAAGAGAGAGAGAGAGGAACAAAAGAAAGGGUUAUAGAUAAAAAGUAAAGUAGCUUGAAAACUCUGCUAGCAGUUUGGUAAUCAUUUCGUGCAGGAGAGUAACUUUAAGAUUAUGCUGAACUUUUGGUUACGAAGGAAUAUACAGGUUAACCCUUUUUAUAACGCGGUAAUAGAUAGGCUUCUAGAAAAUCUUGAGUAAAAUCGUGUUAUAUUCGCGUCAUUAUUUUAAGCUAAUUUAGUUUUUAAAUACGUUAAAGAAUCAAUUGCUUAUAACAUAGUGGUGCAUUAAAAUUUUCGCAAUUUUUUUAUUCCGUUAGAACGAAACCGUGUUGUAGGUGAGUUAACUGUAACUGAAAGAUAAAAGGAAAAAAGUUGCGAGGAAAAUAUUUAUACGUAUGUAUGAAUGUAUGAUCUGUUCGAGUUAUUUUCUAAAGACGUGCGA
Molecule: long non-coding RNA, 683 nt
Filed under: Polistes fuscatus (common paper wasp)
Lineage: Eukaryota; Metazoa; Arthropoda; Insecta; Hymenoptera; Vespidae
Description: uncharacterized LOC122515408
Source: RNAcentral